CGUGAUUGGAAUCUGUGACACCGGUGCUAGCAGCCUGCAGCACUGACCUGCUUAAGAGGACACACUGGACAGGGAGGAUGGACAGUCCACUUCUGGCCACUGCUUGCAAGUGCAUAACUUAGGCUUACGUGGUCAACUUAAAAUGAGCAUCAGAGAGAGAGUCUCUCCAAAGGGAAGAGUGUGACAGAGUUUUGCAGUCAGGAGAUAGGUGCCAUGGAGAACGGUGGGAGGGGUGGCCCCAGGGGGCCAAAUGGGCAUAAGGAUUUCAAAGACCAAAUGAGGAAGGUUACAGAAAUUACCUGGUAGUCAGGGUUCUGUACAAGAAGAGAAUUUAUAGAAUGAGGAUAUACCAAAGAGAGUUUAUCAGGUUGGCUUACAUGAUAUGGUUGGAUAUUCCAACAGUGGCUGCCCUACACUAGUCAGGCUGACAACCUGGUGGUUGCUCCAUCCACAGGACUGGAUGCGUCAUCACUAUCACCAUCAUCAACACCACCACCACCACCACCAGCAGCAGCAACAAAGAUAAACUCACUUGUUAGAGUGAAGACUAACAGGAUUACCAGAAGGAGCCACCUACUCAGUGCAGUGAACAAGACGUGUGGUCUGAAGAUACACAACACCGAGACAGGACUGUGUGGUGCUCACAUGCCACGAGCAGAGUUCAAACAGCAUCCAAGCCCUGAA
Molecule: long non-coding RNA, 684 nt
Filed under: Mus spicilegus (steppe mouse)
Lineage: Eukaryota; Metazoa; Chordata; Mammalia; Rodentia; Muridae
Description: lncRNA (ENSMSIG00000027093.1)
Source: RNAcentral